Molecule: long non-coding RNA, 595 nt
Organism: Elaeis guineensis (African oil palm)
Lineage: Eukaryota; Viridiplantae; Streptophyta; Magnoliopsida; Arecales; Arecaceae
Source: RefSeq, a predicted model, not a curated record
GCCCCUGACACCCUUGCCCCCCGUCCGCUUGCCAAGUGCAUCCACACGCCUCCAUGUAGCGGCACUUUCACCUUUACCAUCUUCGUUGCUCGCGCUGGCGGUGUCGUCGCACCUAUCCUCUCACUGACUGCCUCUGAUAGUGUCGUCCCCACAUAUGCCCUAACCUCCUUCCUCUCCUCCCACUGGUGUGCGACAAGAAAUGGAAAAUGAAAGGCCUCUUUGUCCUUGUGGAAGAGGUGUGAUGAAGCUCUAUAUUUUUAAAAAGCAAGUUACGGGCAUUACUUCUAUCGUUGUCCUGAUUGGCAAGCGAGUAUAAAGGACCAAAAGUUGCUCAGCCGAAUGGUGUGAUACAAUGGGAUCGAAACAAACACAACAUUAAUUACGGAAAGUGGCUUGUUUCUACUUAUUGUGGAUGCAAUGCAUGUCUCAUUUUCUUAUUAACCUUGGUGGGGCUAAUUUUACUUUUAUUCAUUCUACGUGGAUUGCAGGUAUCAUGUGUACAAUCUCUCAAAACAUGCUUUUGACAAUGUACGACGUUUAAGAGUGUUUUAUCUAAUGAAAAAUUAGCUUUUUGAUAUGGUCUAAUGGAAAAUUA